GGCCUGGCUGGGCGGUCCGCCUCACGGCGUGUACUGUCUGGCUGGGUCUUACCUCUUGGUGAACCGGCGUGCCCUUUAUUGGCGUGCGUCGGGGAACCAGGACUUUUACCUUGAGAAAAUUAGAGUGUUCAAAGCAGGCCUGUGCCUGAAUACAUUAGCAUGGAAUAAUAAAAUAGGACGUGCGGUUCUAUUUUGUUGGUUUCUAGAGUCGCCGUA
Molecule: ribosomal RNA, 216 nt
Filed under: uncultured fungus
Lineage: Eukaryota; Fungi
Description: partial small subunit ribosomal RNA
Rfam family: Eukaryotic small subunit ribosomal RNA (bases 92-216)
Source: RNAcentral